GACGAACGCUGGCGGCGUGCUUAACACAUGCAAGUCGAACGAAGAGCGAUGGAAGCUUGCUUCUAUCAAUCUUAGUGGCGAACGGGUGAGUAACGCGUAAUCAACCUGCCCUUCAGAGGGGGACAACAGUUGGAAACGACUGCUAAUACCGCAUACGAUCUAAUCUCGGCAUCGAGGAUAGAUGAAAGGUGGCCUCUACAUGUAAGCUAUCACUGAAGGAGGGGAUUGCGUCUGAUUAGCUAGUUGGAGGGGUAACAGCCCACCAAGGCGAUGAUCAGUAGCCGGUCUGAGAGGAUGAACGGCCACAUUGGGACUGAGACACGGCCCAGACUCCUACGGGAGGCAGCAGUGGGGAAUCUUCCGCAAUAGACGAAAGUCUGACGGAGCAACGCCGCGUGAGUGAUGACGGCCUUCGGGUUGUAAAGCUCUGUUAAUCGGGACGAAAGGCCUUCUUGCGAAUAGUGAGAAGGAUUGACGGUACCGGAAGAGAAAGCCACGGCUAACUACGUG
RNAcentral lists this ribosomal RNA (510 nucleotides) under uncultured bacterium. RNAcentral's name for it is "partial 16S ribosomal RNA". It matches the Rfam family "Bacterial small subunit ribosomal RNA", at positions 28 to 507 of the family's 1533-position model. The record is from RNAcentral.